CCGGCGGCCGGGACGUGGAUGCCGAUCCGGCCGCCGGGACCGGUCUCGGCACUGGCCAGCGCCCGUUCGAGUUGGGUGCGGUCGGU
This 86-nucleotide transfer RNA is filed under the name Streptomyces noursei. Its description in RNAcentral is "tRNA-Pro". The record is from RNAcentral. Lineage: Bacteria; Bacillati; Actinomycetota; Actinomycetes; Kitasatosporales; Streptomycetaceae.